AGCGAACGCUGGCGGCAGGCUUAACACAUGCAAGUCGAGCGGACCUUUCGGGGUCAGCGGCGGACGGGUGAGUAACGCGUGGGAACGUGCCUUCCGGUUCGGAAUAACCCUGGGAAACUAGGGCUAAUACCGGAUACGCCCUUAUGGGGAAAGGUUUACUGCCGGAAGAUCGGCCCGCGUCUGAUUAGCUAGUUGGUGGGGUAACGGCCUACCAAGGCGACGAUCAGUAGCUGGUCUGAGAGGAUGAUCAGCCACACUGGGACUGAGACACGGCCCAGACUCCUACGGGAGGCAGCAGUGGGGAAUAUUGGACAAUGGGCGCGAGCCUGAUCCAGCCAUGCCGCGUGAGUGAUGAAGGCCUUAGGGUUGUAAAGCUCUUUUAUCCGGGACGAUAAUGACGGUACCGGAGGAAUAAGCCCCGGCUAACUUCGUG
RNAcentral lists this ribosomal RNA (433 nucleotides) under uncultured bacterium. RNAcentral's name for it is "partial 16S ribosomal RNA". It matches the Rfam family "Bacterial small subunit ribosomal RNA", at positions 29 to 507 of the family's 1533-position model. The record is from RNAcentral.